This 68-nucleotide transfer RNA is filed under the name Girella punctata (largescale blackfish). Its description in RNAcentral is "tRNA-Ser". Lineage: Eukaryota; Metazoa; Chordata; Actinopteri; Centrarchiformes; Girellidae. RNAcentral also lists the same sequence under 1 other name. The record is from RNAcentral.
GAGAGAGGCAUGUCUGCAACGAAGACUGCUAAUCUUCGCCACCCUGGUUAGACUCCUGGGCUCACUCG